Molecule: signal recognition particle RNA, 81 nt
Filed under: Streptococcus sp.
Lineage: Bacteria; Bacillati; Bacillota; Bacilli; Lactobacillales; Streptococcaceae
Description: signal recognition particle sRNA small type
Rfam family: Bacterial small signal recognition particle RNA
About the family: The signal recognition particle (SRP) is a universally conserved ribonucleoprotein involved in the co-translational targeting of proteins to membranes.
Source: RNAcentral
UUCGGAGCAACAUCUGUGCGUGAAGCGGGUCAGGGGAGGAAUCCAGCAGCCCUAAGCGAUUUCAGGUGUGUGCUCUUUUUU